GACGAACGCUGGCGGCGUGCUUAACACAUGCAAGUCGAACGGAAAGGCCCUGCUUUUGUGGGGGGCUCGAGUGGCGAAAGGGUGAGUAACAAGAGAGUAACCUGCCCUUGACUGGGGGAUAACGUCAGUAAACUGGGGCUAAUACCGGAUAGGAGCUCCAGCUGCAUGGUGGGGGUUGGAAGGUUACGGCGGUUGGGGAUGGAGUCGGGGCUUAUCAGCUUGUUCGUGGGGUAGUGGCUUACCAAGGCUUUGACGGGUAGCCGGCCUGAGAGGGUGACCGGCGACACUGGGACUGAGACGCUGCCCUGACCCCUACGGGAGCGAGCAUUCAGGGGUUAUACACCAUGGGCGGAAGCCUGAGUCGUCAACGCCGCGUGCGGGUUGACGGCCUCCGGGCUGGCAACCGCUUUCGCCUGGGACGCAACGUGAGUGACGGUAAUGGCAGAAGAAGCACCGGCUGACUACGUG
Molecule: ribosomal RNA, 468 nt
Filed under: uncultured bacterium
Lineage: Bacteria
Description: partial 16S ribosomal RNA
Rfam family: Bacterial small subunit ribosomal RNA
Source: RNAcentral